This 224-nucleotide ribosomal RNA is filed under the name Pomacea canaliculata. RNAcentral's name for it is "partial 28S rRNA". It matches the Rfam family "Eukaryotic large subunit ribosomal RNA", at positions 100 to 314 of the family's 3401-position model. Lineage: Eukaryota; Metazoa; Mollusca; Gastropoda; Architaenioglossa; Ampullariidae. The record is from RNAcentral.
GGGAAGAGCCCAGCACCGAAUCCCUCGGCCUGUCGCCGACGGGAACUGUGGUGUGUGGGACGCCAACUGUCCGCGGUGCCGGCAGCCGAAGUCCCCCUGAUCGGGGCCUCUCCCAGAGUGGGUGUCAGGCCUUUGCCGGCUUGCUCGGUCCGCGGGCUGCGAGCGUCUCAGGAGUCGGGUUGUUUGGGAAUGCAGCCCAAAGUGGGUGGUAAACUCCAUCUAAG